AUUACUUCUCCCAAAAUGAAUCUUCGAGUAUUCUUUCUUUUGUUUCUCUUGAUUGCUGUCAUGGUCGAGACUGGAGAAAGUGAAGAAACUGAUGAUGCUGGAGAAGAAGUUGGAGGUGCUGGAGAAGAAGCUGGAGGUGCUGGAGAAGAAGCUGGAGGUGCUGGAGAAGAAUCCGCUAAUGAAGCAGCUAACAAAAAUCCCGGAGAUGAUUCCAAAUGAGAUUUAAUUGCUAAUUUGAUGAUUUCUGAAAUCAGUUUAUUAGACUGAAAUGUAUACUGAGUAAUAUGGAACAAAUUGAAUAAAUAAUUAUUUGCAUAGAUAUUUUACUUCUUUAUAAGUAAUUUAUGCAUUUUCUCAGGAAAAGAAUCAUGAAGGGUACAAUAACAUCUCU
This 391-nucleotide long non-coding RNA is filed under the name Androctonus crassicauda. The record is from RNAcentral. Lineage: Eukaryota; Metazoa; Arthropoda; Arachnida; Scorpiones; Buthidae.